This is a long non-coding RNA of Rhagoletis pomonella (apple maggot), 354 nucleotides long. RefSeq lists it as uncharacterized. The record is from RefSeq and is a predicted model, not a curated record. The transcript has 2 exons. Lineage: Eukaryota; Metazoa; Arthropoda; Insecta; Diptera; Tephritidae.
CAUGAGAAAUAGAAAUAUGUACAUAUGUGUCAAAGUAAGCUGCCAAACAAAACGAUAAUUGGCAGAGUUUGGUGAAAUUUUUAGGUAAAGUACCCGCAAGGAAACGCAUAUUUGCAAUCAAAAGCAAAAAGCAAUCAGUGUGCCUAGUAUUGCUGGAAGAUUGGUGGCCAAAUGUAGUUUCUUCAGCUUCAAUGUGUACAUAUUUAAAGGCUUUUGGCAGGGUCACGUGAUGGCGAAAUUCGUGGCAUCUUUAUUUAAUGUAACCACAAACGCUGGAGACGUACAUAUAUAUGUGCAUGUUACGAAGAACAUUUGCGGGUAUACAAAACAAGGGGCAGUGUCUACUGUGUAAAC